GAGGAAUAUUGGUCAAUGGGCGAGAGCCUGAACCAGCCAAGUAGCGUGCAGGAUGACGGCCCUAUGGGUUGUAAACUGCUUUUGAAGGGGAGUAAAGUGAGUGACGAGUCACUCAUUGCAAGUACCCUUGGAAUAAGGACCGGCUAAUUCCGUGCCAGCAGCCGCGGUAAUACGGAAGGUCCGGGCGUUAUCCGGAUUUAUUGGGUUUAAAGGGAGCGCAGGCCGUCGGUUAAGCGUGUUGUGAAAUGCAGAUGCCCAACAUCUGACUUGCAGCGCGAACUGGCUGACUUGAGUACGCACGACGUUGGCGGAAUUUGCCGUGUAGCGGUGAAAUGCUUAGAUAUCACGAAGAACCCCGAUUGCGAAGGCAGCUUGCGGGAGCGCAUCUGACGCUGAAGCUCGAAAGUGCGGGAAUCAAAC
RNAcentral lists this ribosomal RNA (420 nucleotides) under uncultured bacterium. RNAcentral's name for it is "bacterial SSU rRNA". It matches the Rfam family "Bacterial small subunit ribosomal RNA", at positions 356 to 773 of the family's 1533-position model. The record is from RNAcentral.